UACGAAGGGGGCUAGCGUUGCUCGGAAUCACUGGGCGUAAAGGGCGCGUAGGCGGGUUCCCAAGUCGGGGGUGAAAUCCCACGGCCCAACCGUGGAAGAGCUUCCGAUACUGGGAGUCUGGAGGGAGGUAGGGGCGUGUGGAACUUCCGGGUGGAGCGGUGAAAUGCGUAGAUAUCGGAAGGAACGCCGGUGGCGAAAGCGACGCGCUGGACCUCUCUGGCGCUGAGGCGCGAAAGCCAGGGGAGCAAACGGG
RNAcentral lists this ribosomal RNA (253 nucleotides) under uncultured bacterium. Its description in RNAcentral is "partial 16S ribosomal RNA". It matches the Rfam family "Bacterial small subunit ribosomal RNA", at positions 524 to 776 of the family's 1533-position model. The record is from RNAcentral.